Molecule: ribosomal RNA, 379 nt
Filed under: uncultured cyanobacterium
Lineage: Bacteria; Bacillati; Cyanobacteriota
Description: bacterial SSU rRNA
Rfam family: Bacterial small subunit ribosomal RNA
Source: RNAcentral
CGCAAGCCUGACGGAGCAACGCCGCGUGGGGGAGGAAUGUCUGUGGAUUGUAAACCCCUUUUCUCAGGGAAGAAGAUCUGACGGUACCUGAGGAAUAAGCCUCGGCUAACUCCGUGCCAGCAGCCGCGGUAAUACGGAGGAGGCAAGCGUUGUCCGGAAUGAUUGGGCGUAAAGCGUCCGCAGGUGGCAAUGUAAGUCUGCUGUCAAAACCCAGGGCUCAACUCUGGUCAGGCAGUGGAAACUACAUAGCUAGAGUUCGGUAGGGGCAAAGGGAAUUCCCGGUGUAGCGGUGAAAUGCGUAGAUUUCGGGAAGAACAUCGGUGGCGAAAGCGCUCUGCUGGGCCGCAACUGACACUCAGGGACGAAAGCUAGGGGAGCG